GUGAGGAAUAUUGGUCAAUGGUCGCAAGACUGAACCAGCCAUGCCGCGUGCAGGAUGAAGCAUCUAUGGUGUGUAAACUGCUUUUGUACGGGAAGAAACACUCCCUCGUGAGGGAGCUUGACGGUACCGUAAGAAUAAGGAUCGGCUAACUCCGUGCCAGCAGCCGCGGUAAUACGGAGGAUCCAAGCGUUAUCCGGAAUCAUUGGGUUUAAAGGGUCCGUAGGCGGUUUAAUAAGUCAGUGGUGAAAGCCCAUCGCUCAACGAUGGAACGGCCAUUGAUACUGUUAGACUUGAAUUACAAGGAAGUAACUAGAAUAUGUAGUGUAGCGGUGAAAUGCUUAGAUAUUACAUGGAAUACCAAUUGCGAAGGCAGGUUACUACUUGUGGAUUGACGCUGAUGGACGAAAGCGUGGGGAGCGAACAGGAUUAGAUACCCGGGUAGUCC
Molecule: ribosomal RNA, 445 nt
Filed under: uncultured bacterium
Lineage: Bacteria
Description: partial 16S ribosomal RNA
Rfam family: Bacterial small subunit ribosomal RNA
Source: RNAcentral